AACUCUGGUGGAAGCCCGCA
Molecule: small nuclear RNA, 20 nt
Filed under: Arabidopsis thaliana (thale cress)
Lineage: Eukaryota; Viridiplantae; Streptophyta; Magnoliopsida; Brassicales; Brassicaceae
Description: snRNA_05817
Source: RNAcentral